Molecule: long non-coding RNA, 235 nt
Organism: Arabidopsis thaliana (thale cress)
Lineage: Eukaryota; Viridiplantae; Streptophyta; Magnoliopsida; Brassicales; Brassicaceae
Product: other RNA
Exons: 1
Source: RefSeq
GGGGUCAAUUGAUCCAUAAACAAGCUUUUCCUUUUUCUUAUGGAAUAUACUUUAUACAAAAAAAAGUACAUUAAAAAAAAGAGAAAUCUUACUUUAGCAUCUACAUAUGGGCAAUAGAGAUAGAGGGAGAUACAUUUGUCAUUUACUGUGUAUAGGUUCUUUGGUGGUUAUAAAUGAUCUCAGAUUUAUGUGACACAAUAAAUAUAGUUGUUCUGCUUCAUUUUUUCUUUUGAAA